Molecule: ribosomal RNA, 253 nt
Filed under: uncultured bacterium
Lineage: Bacteria
Description: partial 16S ribosomal RNA
Rfam family: Bacterial small subunit ribosomal RNA
Source: RNAcentral
GACGAACCGUCCUAACGUUGUUCGGAAUCACUGGGCUUAAAGGGCGCGUAGGCGGUCGGCAAAGUCAGGGGUGAAAUCUUUCGGCUCAACCGGAAAAGUGCCUUUGAAACUAGUCGGCUCGAGUGAGAUAGGGGCAUGUGGAACUUCCGGUGGAGCGGUGAAAUGCGUUGAUAUCGGAAGGAACGCCGGUGGCGAAAGCGACAUGCUGGAUCUCUUCUGACGCUGAGGCGCGAAAGCUAGGGGAGCAAACGGG